UACGGAGGAUGCAAGCGUUGUCCGGAUUUAUUGGGUUUAAAGGGUGCGUAGGCUGUUUUAUAAGUCAGUGGUUAAAUUAUCUUGCUUAACAAGAGACCUGCCAUUGAUACUGUAAAACUUGAAUACUGACUAGGUAGGCGGAAUUGGUAGUGUAGCGGUGAAAUGCUUAGAUAUUACCAGGAACACCGAUAGCGAAAGCAGCUUACUGGACAGUUAUUGACGCUGAGGCACGAAAGUGCGGGUAUCAAACAGG
This 253-nucleotide ribosomal RNA is filed under the name uncultured bacterium. RNAcentral's name for it is "partial 16S ribosomal RNA". It matches the Rfam family "Bacterial small subunit ribosomal RNA", at positions 524 to 776 of the family's 1533-position model. The record is from RNAcentral.